RNAcentral lists this long non-coding RNA (603 nucleotides) under Danio rerio (zebrafish). RNAcentral describes it as "lncRNA (ENSDARG00000117804.1)". The record is from RNAcentral. Lineage: Eukaryota; Metazoa; Chordata; Actinopteri; Cypriniformes; Danionidae.
AGUAGGCUCUCCAGUCACAACUCACUUCAAAAUUAAUCUCCUCCCUCUCUCUCCUUCUCUCGUUUGCUCUCGCUAAUUUGAUAAAGGUUGAAAUACGUGUUAUUUUAAUUUAUUCAAACAAGUUUAAUAUAUGUUAAAAGUUCACACACAGUUGUAAAGCUCCCUUCAAAGCUGCCAACUCCCAGACACAUGCACGAGCACAAUCUGCUAAAUAAAUACCAAAUCGCAAUGAUGAGGUUAGAAAGGAUUCGAAGGCAACACUUCAGGUGAUACUUCAACAUUCACAGGGCAUCAGCAUCUGCAGGAGGACCCGAGAAAAGGUCAGCGUCUCACAGGGAAAUCACAGCAAAGCUUUCACUUUGUCCCAGAACCCCACCGUUUUUAACAGACAACAACAGAUGGCAUGCUACAAGUGAAGGUGAGUGUUCAUAUUUGUUCUGUUGCUUGAUUUCUUAUGUGAUAUUUUCACAGUCUGAAAGUUUGAUUGCAAAUGACUGUUCGAUUUUUUUUUUUUUUGUUUGUUUGUUUUUUUUUUAUGUUGUCUUGUAUUUUCCAGUCAAGCAGUUUGGGGCUUGUCUGAUUUUUUUUUCCUUGUUAAAUCAG